Molecule: RNA transcript, 1474 nt
Organism: Salvia splendens (bonfire salvia)
Lineage: Eukaryota; Viridiplantae; Streptophyta; Magnoliopsida; Lamiales; Lamiaceae
Gene name: cell division protein FtsZ homolog 2-1, chloroplastic
Exons: 5
Source: RefSeq, a predicted model, not a curated record
UCAAAAAUGUGGUUCAGGUCUCCCACAGUUGAAAUGUUCGGCCAAUUCCCAUAGUGUGAAUCAGUUUCAUAGCAAGGACUCGUUUCUGAACCUACACCCUGAGAUCUCGAUGCUUAGAGGUGAGACGAGCACUACCAUGAUCAACCCAAAACAGGAUUCGUCAAGUGGAAAUGUUACUGAGAGUGUUAGAGACUUAUCUACUUUAAACAAUUAUAGUGAAGCCAAGAUCAAGGUUAUUGGCGGUGGAGGUGGUGGAUCCAAUGCUGUUAACCGUAUGAUAGAGAGUGAAAUGAAGGGGGUUGAGUUCUGGAUAGUUAACACUGACAUCCAAGCCAUGAGGAUGUCACCCAUCUUUCCUGAGCAUCGCUUGCAGAUUGGUGGAGAGCUUACUCGAGGACUCGGUGCUGGUGGGAACCCAGAAGUUGGUAUGAGUGCUGCUAAUGAAAGCAAAGCAGCAAUAGAGGAGGCAGUUGAUGGAGCAGACAUGGUCUUUGUCACUGCUGGAAUGGGUGGGGGAACAGGCACUGGGGGAGCCCCUGUAAUUGCUGGAAUCGCAAAAUCCAUGGGCAUUUUGACUGUUGGUAUAGUCACCACUCCAUUCUCAUUUGAAGGACGAAGAAGAGCUGUUCAAGCUCAGGAAGGAAUCGCAGCUUUAAGAGAAAACGUUGAUACCCUCAUUGUCAUUCCAAAGGAUAAAUUGCUCACUGCAGUUUCUCCAUCCACACCAGUAACAGAUGCAUUCAAUCUUGCUGAUGAUAUUCUUCGACAAGGAGUUCGGGGUAUCUCCGAUAUUAUCACAAUUCCAGGGUUAGUAAAUGUAGAUUUUGCAGAUGUGAGAGCUAUUAUGGCUAGUGCCGGUUCUUCAUUAAUGGGAAUCGGAACUGCUACAGGUUUGGCAUUUUAAAAGUUUGUAUGGGUUGGAGGUGACGUUGCAGUGCCCAUCCAAUUCUUCUGAAGCCUAGAAACAGCCACAAGGAAAAUCUUCCAGAGAGAUCAUAUUUUCACAUGAUUAUCUGUGCUCCAACAAUCACGAUGAAGAUAAGAUAACAGUAGAGUUCAUAAAAGAUCCACUUCCCAUUAGAAAUACUUGAAUUCCAAGCCUGUGCAGAUUUGCACUGGGUUUCUUUUCAUUGUUGUCUUUCUUCACUUUUGGGAGGAGGAAAUUGGGCAGUUGAGAUAUAUGCUUGAGUAGCUGCCAACCCGACAUUUAGCAAAUCUGGUUGGGCAAGCAGAUUCAAACAGACGGUCUUCGUCGUCGUUUCUAGAAGGCGGUGCUGUUGAGAUACCUGAGUUCUUGAGGAAGAAAGGACGGUCUCGCUAUCCAAGAGCUUAAUUACUUGUUCUUCUUAUCAUGCUUCUGUAUAGGAUAGGAUUUUGGUUUUUCUUUCAUUCAGUUUAUUAGCUCCACAUCCUGUCAAAUAAAAUGAGGAUAUUUUAUAUGUAUACAAGCUAUCUCUACUUCUUUUCUUUCAAA